Molecule: long non-coding RNA, 2556 nt
Organism: Homo sapiens (human)
Lineage: Eukaryota; Metazoa; Chordata; Mammalia; Primates; Hominidae
Source: Ensembl
AAAUAUAAAGUAGGUUCUGAGUUUUUAAUUUCUCGCUGAAAUAAAAACGUUUUGCUUCUUCCUCUGACCUACUUAGACUUUACCAAGCAGACGCUGCUGGAAAAACAAGAACUUUCCUUGUCUGCUGUUAAGAUGCCAGAAAAAUGAUGAAAAGAGCACAGUACCGAAAAUAAGAAGAGAGUAAAACCAUAAUAAGAAAGACAAGGUGCUGGAGGGUGCACGGUGAUUAGGAACUGGCAUGGAUCCCCAGUGCAGCACAACUGCUUCACAGAAAAGUGUCUGUGUGUCUGGAGUUGGUUCCUUCCCAUGGGUUCAUUCGUGGUCUCGCUGACUUCAAGAAUGGAGCCGUGGACCUUCGCAGUGAGUGUUAUAGCUCUUAAAGAUGGCAUGGACCCAAAGAGUGAGCAGCAGCAAGAUUUAUUGUGAAGAGUGAAAGGACAAAGCUUCCACAGCAUGGAAGGGGACCUGAGUGGGUGCCGCUGCUGGCUGGGGUGGCCAGCUUGUAUUCCCUUAUUUGUCCCCGCCCUUGUCCUGCUGAUUGGUCCAUUUUACAGAGUGCUGAUUGGUCUAUUUUACAAACCUCUAGCUAGCUACAGAGCGCUGAUUGGUGUAUUUUACAAUCCUAACUACAGAAUGCAGAUUGGUGCAUUUUACAAUCCUCUUGUAAGACAGAAAAGUUCUUCAAAUCCCCACUUGACCCAGGAAGUCCAGCUGGCUUCACCUCUCAUCUGGACUGUUCUUCACUUGGUCCCUGUCCCUGCUUCUCCUCACUGGGCAGGGCCUCCUGACCUGGGACUCCCGCAUAACUACUCUGCCCUGCCUGGGCACUUCAGUCAGCAGCAGCUCUGCAUUUGUCUAAGGAGGAAAUCCUGGAGUCAACCCACAACCCCUCCACCAUUGCACCUGUAGUGGUACCACCCUAACCACCCUCAGGCUAAGGAAGGAACAAAGGGCUUAGUUCCUGUGCUAGCACCUCCUGCACUGUGUAGCCCCCAUACAGAGUCCUGUCUCUCUUCUCUGUGAACCCCCACCCUCAACUCUUCACCAGGUAGGGCCCCUGGGUCAGGACUGCAGAUCAGUCGCCCCAACCACAGCUAAGGAUGCCCACUGGGAGUGGCUCUGAGUUUCCCAGAGGAGGGGCUCCCAGAGGGAACCAACACCCCUCUGCCAUAGCAAUGGUUCUGCCUCUGCUGCCCUCCAUCUGGGGAAGAAACAAAGAGCCUGAGGGCUUCACCUGCACUUUCAGCACACCACAGUCACCAUCGGAAGAAAAGCCCAGUCUCUCCUCCCUGUGAGCCUUCCACCCCCUCUUCACCAAGUGGAGUGCCCAACUCAUGCCAGCAGUGCAGCCAACCCACCCCCUGGCUGAAUACUCCCAUUGGCAGUGGUUCUGCUUCUCUGAGGUAGAAUUCCCAGAGAUAACUGAAAGGCCCUUUGCCACUGCCGCUGCUGUGGUACUUCUCUUGCUUCCCUCAGACUAAGGAAGGAGCAGAGACCCUGAGUGCUUCAACCACACCUUUGGUAAGCUGAAGUUGCCCUAAGGAGAAGAGGCCAGUCUGUAUCCCUCCAGGACCCACCUGCUCUCCCUGCUCAUCACUACCAGGGCCUCCCCUUGCCCUUGGGUCCAAAGUGUGGUGGCCCCAUCCUGGGCUGAUCACACCGAUUGAUAGUGGCUCCACAUCAGAAAGAGGUGUGAGCCUCUUGUCAAAAGACAAGUGAAAGACACUCUGCCACAGCCACUGCUAAGGUCCCUUCACCUGCUGCCUCCAAGCUUGAGAGGGUACAGAAAGUUUGAACUCACCCCAGAAUUGUAAUGUGCAGCCCAGGAGUGCCAAGCCGAGAUAUGCAGCCAGCACUCAAGUGGGAGAGGAGACCACCCAUUCACAGCACUGAGAGGGAGCCCAGCUGCAAUCCUGAGGAAAUACAGAGAAAUCAUGUGGCUAAGCAAGAGCCUACCUACCAGCCAUUACACUUAAGCACCACCUAUUGGAUGACAGUCCAAAACUUCAACACCAAUAACACUUAGCUAAUAUACCCUCUUGUGAAACCAGUGACAAGAAUUCAGCUACAAAUAAAGACCCUGCACAAAGACUUGGGCCUCUGAAAACAUCCAGAAAAGAAGUCAAUUGGCUGUACUCAAUAUACAUUGCAGUUAAAGGAACACCAGUGCACACAGUUGAGAAAGAACCAGUGUAAGAACUCUGGCAACUCAAAAAGCCAGAGUGUCUUCUUUCCUCCAAAUGAAUGCACUAGUUCUCCAGCAAGCAUUCUUAACUAGGCUUGCUGAUGGAAAUGAUGGAAAUAGAAUUCAGAAUAUGAAUAGGAAGAAAGAUCAUUGAGAUUCAGGAAAAAGUAAAAACCCAAUCCAAGAAAUGUAAGGAUUAUAAUAAAAUGAUACAGGAACUGAUAGGUGAAAUGGCCAUUAUAAAAAAGAACCAAAUUGAUCAGAUAGAGCUGAAAAACACAUGACAAGAAUUUCAUAAUGCAAUCACAAUUAUUAACAGAAGACUAGACCAAGCUGAGAAAAGCAUCUCAGUGCUUGAAGACCAGCUCUCU